Long non-coding RNA from Oncorhynchus keta (chum salmon), 1337 nucleotides. RefSeq lists it as uncharacterized. The transcript is spliced from 2 exons. The record is from RefSeq and is a predicted model, not a curated record. Lineage: Eukaryota; Metazoa; Chordata; Actinopteri; Salmoniformes; Salmonidae.
AUUCCCUAUAGUCUACUACUUUAGACCAGAGCCCUAUUCCCUAUAGUGUACUACUUUAGACCAGAGCCCUAUUCCCUAUAGUGUACUACUUUAGACCAGAGCCCUAUUCCCUAUAGUGUACUACUUUAGACCAGAGCCCUAUUCCCUAUAGUGUACUACUUUAGACCAGAGCCCUAUUCCCUAUAGUGUACUACUUUAGACCAGAGCCCUAUUCCCUGUAGUGUACUACUUUAGACCAGAGCCCUAUUCCCUAUAGUGUACUACUUUAGACCAGAGCCCUAUUCCCUAUAGUGUACUACUUUAGACCAGAGCCCUAUUCCCUAUAGUGUACUACUUUAGACCAGAGCCCUAUUCCCUAUAGUGUACUACUUUAGACCAGAACCCUAUGGCACCCUAUUCCCUGUAGUGUACUACUUUAGACCAGAACCCUAUGGCACCCUAUUCCCUGUAGUGUACUACUAUAGACCAGAGCCCUAUUCCCUGUAGUGUACUACUUUAGACCAGAGCCCUAUUCCCUAUAGUGUACUACUUUAGACCAGAGCCCUAUUCCCUAUAGUGUACUACUUUAGACCAGAGCCCUAUUCCCUGUAGUGUACUACUAUAGACCAGAGCCCUAUUCCCUGUAGUGUACUACUUUAGACCAGAGCCCUAUUCCCUAUAGUGUACUACUUUAGACCAGAACCCUAUGGCACCCUAUUCCCUGUAGUGUACUACUAUAGACCAGAGCCCUAUUCCCUGUAGUGUACUACUUUAGACCAGAGCCCUAUUCCCUAUAGUGUACUACUUGUAUUUUUAUUCAUAUUUAUUUAACUAGGUAAGUAAAUUAAGAACAAAUUCUUAUUUACAAUGAUGGCCAAAACCGGACGACGCUGAGCCAAUUGUGUGCCGCCCUUUGGGACUCCCAAUCGCGGCCGGUUGUGAUACAGCCUGGAAUCGAACCAGGGUCUGUAGUGACACCUCUAGCACUGAUAUGCAGUACCACUCGGGAGCCCAAUGGUCCCUGGUCAAAAGUAGUGCACUAUAUAGGGAAUAGGGUGCCAUUUUGAACAAAGAUAAUGGAAUAUACUAAUGAAAAUGUUACAAAAGAUGAAAAGGAAGUCAAUAAAGGGAUCUGGAAGAAGAAGAAGAAGUGGGAAUUCUUCCUCUGUGAUUGAUGUUAUCAGUGUUUCCAUAGAUCUGAGAAAUUACUUGUAGAAGAAAAAUAUAUAUAUAUUACCCGAGAGUAUCUUUUUCCUUUUGUUGUUGUUGCAUGGAUGGAUAUUUUUUUAAGAAUUAUAAUAUGACAUCUUUAUGACAACUUUGAAUGUGAGCUAUAAAACAUUUAUUUAAGAAAGAAA